UACGUAGGGGGCAAGCGUUAUCCGGAUUUACUGGGUGUAAAGGGAGCGUAGACGGCAAUGCAAGUCUGGAGUGAAAGGCGGGGGCCCAACCCCCGGACUGCUCUGGAAACUGUAUAGCUGGAGUGCAGGGGAGGUAAGUGGAAUUCCUAGUGUAGCGGUGAAAUGCGUAGAUAUUAGGAGGAACACCAGUGGCGAAGGCGGCUUACUGGACUGUAACUGACGUUGAGGCUCGAAAGCGUGGGGAGCAAACAGG
RNAcentral lists this ribosomal RNA (253 nucleotides) under uncultured bacterium. RNAcentral's name for it is "partial 16S ribosomal RNA". It matches the Rfam family "Bacterial small subunit ribosomal RNA", at positions 524 to 776 of the family's 1533-position model. The record is from RNAcentral.